This 529-nucleotide ribosomal RNA is filed under the name uncultured bacterium. RNAcentral's name for it is "bacterial SSU rRNA". It matches the Rfam family "Bacterial small subunit ribosomal RNA", at positions 777 to 1304 of the family's 1533-position model. The record is from RNAcentral.
AAUAGAUACCCGGGUAGUCCACGCCGUAAACGAUGAGUGCUAAGUGUUAGAGGGUUUCCGCCCUUUAGUGCUGCAGCUAACGCAUUAAGCACUCCGCCUGGGGAGUACGGCCGCAAGGCUGAAACUCAAAGGAAUUGACGGGGGCCCGCACAAGCGGUGGAGCAUGUGGUUUAAUUCGAAGCAACGCGAAGAACCUUACCAGGUCUUGACAUCCUCUGCCAACCCUAGAGAUAGGACGUUCCCCUUCGGGGGACAGAGUGACAGGUGGUGCAUGGUUGUCGUCAGCUCGUGUCGUGAGAUGUUGGGUUAAGUCCCGCAACGAGCGCAACCCUUGAUCUUAGUUGCCAGCAUUCAGUUGGGCACUCUAAGGUGACUGCCGGUGACAAACCGGAGGAAGGUGGGGAUGACGUCAAAUCAUCAUGCCCCUUAUGACCUGGGCUACACACGUGCUACAAUGGAUGGUACAAAGAGCUGCGAACCCGCGAGGGUAAGCGAAUCUCAUAAAGCCAUUCUCAGUUCGGAUUGUAGG